This 496-nucleotide ribosomal RNA is filed under the name uncultured bacterium. Its description in RNAcentral is "partial 16S ribosomal RNA". It matches the Rfam family "Bacterial small subunit ribosomal RNA", at positions 29 to 507 of the family's 1533-position model. The record is from RNAcentral.
AUGAACGCUGGCGGCGUGCCUAAUACCUGCAAGUCGAGCGAACAGAUGAGGAGCUUGCUCCUCUGACGUUAGCGGCGGACGGGUGAGUAAUACGUGGAUAACCUACCUAUAAGACUGGGAUAACUUCGGGAAACCGGAGCUAAUACCGGAUAAUAUAUUGAACCGCAUGGUUCAAUAGUGAAAGACGGUUUUGCUGUCACUUAUAGAUGGAUCCGCGCCGCAUUAGCUAGUUGGUAAGGUAACGGCUUACCAAGGCAACGAUGCGUAGCCGACCUGAGAGGGUGAUCGGCCACACUGGAACUGAGACACGGUCCAGACUCCUACGGGAGGCAGCAGUAGGGAAUCUUCCGCAAUGGGCGAAAGCCUGACGGAGCAACGCCGCGUGAGUGAUGAAGGUCUUCGGAUCGUAAAACUCUGUUAUUAGGGAAGAACAAAUGUGUAAGUAACUAUGCACGUCUUGACGGUACCUAAUCAGAAAGCCACGGCUAACUACGUG